This 420-nucleotide ribosomal RNA is filed under the name uncultured bacterium. RNAcentral's name for it is "bacterial SSU rRNA". It matches the Rfam family "Bacterial small subunit ribosomal RNA", at positions 355 to 774 of the family's 1533-position model. The record is from RNAcentral.
UAAGGAAUAUGGCUCAAUGGGAGAAAUCCUGAAGCAGCAACGCCGCGUGGAGGAUGAAGGGUCUAUGACUUGUAAACUCCUGUAAAGAAGGAAAAAAUUCCCAUUAGAUGGGAGAUGAUGGUACUUCUGGAGUAAGCCCCGGCUAACUACGUGCCAGCAGCCGCGGUAAUACGUAGGGGGCAAGCGUUGUCCGGAUUUCCUGGGUGUAAAGGGUGCUCAGGCGGAUGUGUAAGUCAGAGGUGAAAUCUUACAGCUUAACUGUGAAACUGCCUUUGAUACUGCAAGCCUAGAGUAUGGAAGAGAGUGAUGGAAUAUCUGGUGUAGCAGUGAAAUGCGUAGAUAUCAGAUAGAACACCAAUGGCGAAGGCAGCCACUUGGUCCAUUACUGACGCUAAAGCACGAAAGCGUGGGUAGCAAACA